This is a long non-coding RNA of Cryptotermes secundus, 1111 nucleotides long. RefSeq lists it as uncharacterized. NCBI's taxonomy places the organism in Eukaryota, Metazoa, Arthropoda, Insecta, Blattodea, Kalotermitidae. The record is from RefSeq and is a predicted model, not a curated record. The transcript has 3 exons.
AUGAAAUGCAGGAAGGAAUUGGCACCCAUACACUUGCUUAAGGAUCCAUCAUAUGACGAAAAUGAAGAUGGAAAUGAAGCUUCGAUUUACACAGCACAGGAUUGCAGUCCUGAUUUAAGACUGGAAUUAGAGAUAGUGAGCCGCAGUCCUGAUUUAAGACUGGAAUUAGAGUUAGAGAACCGACAGCCUGGAGUUGGCAUCAGACCCCGAGAAAUUUAUAAGUGCUUGAUACAACAAAACCACACACAGCAAGAGGCUCCAGUAGGCACAUUGGAAGAUGACGUUAUAGUCAGCCCUAUACGUUCGAAUAGAAGUGACGGAAUUAACUAUGUUGUUAAUUACUAUGAAGACUAUGAAUAUAAGUUAUGUUUCCCACCCUUCCCUCUUAAGCAGAGAAAGUCCUUUGUUCCAUGGAAUAUCCGGCUGCCUGGUCGUUGGUACUAAAGAAGUUAGUCUGAUGGAAAUGUGUCGCCCUAUUAUUUCAAGAUGUCUGAUGACGGCUGGCUCCAUUUCGAUCUUGGUACACUAUAAUAUAAAGGACCGUCUUGCUUUAUGCCGUAUGGGAGCGAGUUGCAUAUUUUUGAGCAGGAAGUCGAAGCCCACUAUGCAAGACGGUUCCUUGUACUAAAGGUAUGUAUCAUAUCGGAUGCAUACAAUUAUAAUGCCCAGUUUAUUCAUGUGGUCAGCUUGCCAAAUUUAAGGAUAGCUGGAAGAAUGUGAUGUGCUUGGUGCUGUAUGCCAUUUGAUAUACGUUGUUUUGGGAGAAAGAAAUAUGUACAGCAUCCAGAAUAUAAACAGUCUGGCCCAGAGUUCUGCACGAUUAUACUGGACCAUUAAUACUUAUAUAUUAUUUUUCUUCUGCAUAACAGAGCACCUGCUUUUACAAAUUCAUGCUUUAAAUAAAUGGCCACCUUGUAUUUGCAUACUGAUCAUGUAAUAUAAUGGCAUUAAUGUUUUUAAAUCCAUGAGCUGUCUUAUAAGCAAGCACAGACAAUCACAAAUACUCUUUGUUGGUGGAUUAGACUUUACAGUCACGAGCCUGUGCUAAAGAUAUUUGGAAAUUCAGUUAUAUUGACUUUUAAAGUCUGUGAAUAAUAUGCUUCAAGAAGGA